CAGCCUUGUUGAUGUAUUAACCUGGCUUCUUUUUACUUCCUUGUACACGGGAAGAGUCUCCCGUACAUUAAGGGACCUGAUGCGCCAGGAUCAAACGCCUGAAUAUGUUCAGUACGUUUUUAAUAAAUCGUCAUGAACACGCUGCAUCUUGGUCCGAUCCUUACUCCUCGAGAUCUGCCGUUAAAAAUCCAGGAGGAGCUCCUGUGGCCUCUGCAUGUUGCUCCCGGGGGCAAACUACCUGCCCUCCAGGACACCUACACCACCCGUUGUUACAGGAAGGCCAUAAAGAUCAUCAAGGACAUCAACCACCCGAACCACUGCCUGUUCACCCCGC
This is a long non-coding RNA of Oncorhynchus gorbuscha (pink salmon), 334 nucleotides long. RefSeq lists it as uncharacterized. The record is from RefSeq and is a predicted model, not a curated record. The transcript is spliced from 3 exons. NCBI's taxonomy places the organism in Eukaryota, Metazoa, Chordata, Actinopteri, Salmoniformes, Salmonidae.